This 527-nucleotide ribosomal RNA is filed under the name uncultured bacterium. Its description in RNAcentral is "bacterial SSU rRNA". It matches the Rfam family "Bacterial small subunit ribosomal RNA", at positions 29 to 455 of the family's 1533-position model. The record is from RNAcentral.
AGUGAACGCUGGCGGCGUGCCUAACACAUGCAAGUCGAACGGGCUAGUGCUUCGCACUAGUCUCUUUCUGGGGUUGCUACUCUAAGGCUACCUGCUAAAGUUAUUGCUUUAAAGCAGGGGUUUUAGGGGACCUUCCCCAAAAGGGGCCAGUGCGGAGCACUGGCCAGUGGCGAACGGGUGAGUAACACGUGGGUAAUCUGCCCUCGAGUGGGGAAUAAGCUCCCGAAAGGGGGUCUAAUACCGCAUGACGUUUCAUAACGAUGGUUAUGAAACCAAAGCCCAAAAGGCGCUUGAGGAGGAGCCUGCGUCCUAUCAGCUUGUUGGCAGGGUAAUGGCCUACCAAGGCUAUGACGGGUAGCCGGCCUGAGAGGGUGUCCGGCCACACUGGAACUGAGACACGGUCCAGACUCCUACGGGAGGCAGCAGCGGGGAAUUUUGCGCAAUGGGGGAAAACCCUGACGCAGCGACGCCGCGUGGAGGAUGACGGCCUCGUGUAGUACUCGUCUACGUAGGACGAAGACGAACCG